GGUGGGUCGGAGUGCUUGCACUUUGCUGACGAGCGGCGGACGGGUGCGUAACACGUAGGAAUCUGCCUGGUAGUGGGGGAUAGCCCGGAGAAAUCCGGAUUAAUACCGCAUACGCCUUACGAGGGAAAGCAGGGGAUCUUCGGACCUUGCGCUAUCAGAUGAGCCUGCGUCGGAUUAGCUGGUUGGUGGGGUAAAGGCCUACCAAGGCGACGAUCCGUAGCUGGUCUGAGAGGAUGAUCAGCCACACUGGGACUGAGACACGGCCCAGACUCCUACGGGAGGCAGCAGUGGGGAAUAUUGCACAAUGGGCGAAAGCCUGAUGCAGCCAUGCCGCGUGUGUGAAGAAGGCCCUAGGGUUGUAAAGCACUUUCAGCGAGGAGGAAAGGUUAAAGGUUAAUACCCUUUGGCUGUGACGUUACUCGCAGAAGAAGCACCGGCUAACUCCGUGCCAGCAGCCGCGGUAAUACGGAGGGUGCGAGCGUUAAUCGGAAUUACUGGGCGUAAAGCGUGCGUAGGCGGCCUUUUAAGUUGGAUGUGAAAGCCCCGGGCUCAACCCGGGAACUGCAUCCAAAACUGGAAGGCUCGAGUGCGGGAGAGGAGUGUGGAAUUUCCUGUGUAGCGGUGAAAUGCGUAGAUAUAGGAAGGAACAC
This 650-nucleotide ribosomal RNA is filed under the name uncultured bacterium. Its description in RNAcentral is "bacterial SSU rRNA". It matches the Rfam family "Bacterial small subunit ribosomal RNA", at positions 65 to 709 of the family's 1533-position model. The record is from RNAcentral.